RNAcentral lists this unclassified non-coding RNA (262 nucleotides) under uncultured bacterium. Its description in RNAcentral is "partial contains 16S ribosomal RNA and 16S-23S ribosomal RNA intergenic spacer region". It matches the Rfam family "Bacterial small subunit ribosomal RNA", at positions 69 to 338 of the family's 1533-position model. The record is from RNAcentral.
AAGAGGCUCUUUCGGGAGUACUUCAGUGGCGGACGGGUGAGUAACAUGUAGGUGACCUGCCCGGAAGCAGGGGAUAAGGGCUCGAAAGGGCCGCUAAUACCCAAAAGGGUCGCGAGUCGCAUCGCGAUCAGAGUUACGGCGUUUCGGGAGGGGCCUGCGGCCCAUCAGCUAGUUGGUAGGGUAACGGCCUACCAAGGGGACGACGGGUAGGGGGCCUGAGAGGGUGAUCCCCCACAUUGGCUCUGACACACGGCGCAGACUC